RNAcentral lists this long non-coding RNA (2030 nucleotides) under Xyrichtys novacula (pearly razorfish). The stretch from base 1914 to 2030 matches the Rfam family "Eukaryotic large subunit ribosomal RNA", at positions 820 to 936 of the family's 3401-position model. Lineage: Eukaryota; Metazoa; Chordata; Actinopteri; Labriformes; Labridae. The record is from RNAcentral.
AAGGGAGGGCAACCUUGGUGUUUGUGGUGGAAAGGUGAGAGAGAGAAAUGGGGAGAGAUAAAGGGAUGGUGGCAUCUGUCUGCGUGUGCCGUCAGUAAGAAGGUUAGAGAUUAUAAUCCGUUCUUCUAUACCUCUUGGACAGAUGAAGAGAAAGAGAUUGAGAUAAAAUGUCUGGAGAAAGCAAGAUAGCAAGGCAGCUCAAAGAGACAUCUCAAGGAAAAAGACAGAUAAAAAUAUUUCAACCACUCUGAAAAAAAUAACAAAUGCCUUAUCCCAAAGCGCUUCAUGGAGAUUGUCUUCCUCUCAACCACACUUAAACCUCACAUUUAGAUCCUUCAAACCUGUCAAAUCUGCCUCUCCAUCUAAACCAGGCUCCCAGCUGUACAUAUGAGUACAGAAGAAUCAAACCUCAACUCUGAUUUCAACAAAAAAGAGUGGCAGACAUUUGAGUGCGUCCCAUCCAUCACAAUGAGACAAGCAGUCUCUGGGGCUGAUAAGGCAGGUCUGUGUCAACAGCCUGUCAAUGAAGACAAACGAGGAGGAGGACAACUGCUGGAGGUGCAGAGCAUCAUUUAUCUCUCUCUGUUUGUCUCUGUGAGUGUCUGUCUCUUUCUCCGAGCGCCUGAGAGCCUGACAGUAAAUAUUUCAGGGGCAAUGCUCUCAUCUGCUGGUGUUUGGGUGAAGUGACUUCAUGGUUACAGCUUCAAAGUAUAACCACAAAUCAAAACAUUAGGAGAGUUUCAAAACUUCUUAGAGAAAAACACAGGUGACAGUUCGGUUGAUAUAUUUCUUACAGACCCUCUCUCAAAGGCUUGUGACCAUAUUGAUUAGACCUAUUACGGUUUCUGAUCAUUAUUCACUUAAUAAAGAAAGUUCUAAUGCAGACUGUUGGCUAAACCCAGAGGAUAGCCUAUAAUUUGAGACUACGUGAUAUGUCAUGCAGGAUACCUAGGGUUAACAGUAAAUUGUAUGUCAUUUUACAGCAUUAAAGUGAAAUAAAAGAAAAAUAGAUGUUUUUUUAGAUUACGAUAAUGCACACUUUUGGACACUUCAUAGGUUAUCUGGUUCAUUAAUCUCGUAAUGAUAGAGAAUUUCACGAGUUUAAAUUCACUUUUUUUUUCAACAAAAACAAAAUUAAGUGGCUAGUUAUACAUAAGAACGCGAAAAGCAACUCUGCAGCUUGUGUGUUUGGGGAACUCACAUGUUAACACAACUUGCAAAUAUUGCGAUAGCUAAACUUAUCCCACGGUUGCUUACGUACAUUACGAAAUAUCUUAUUUACACAUUAGAGAUUUAAGAUAAUGCGAACUUUCGGGCACUUCCAAGGUUAUCUGGUUUAUCAAUUCCCUGAUGAUAAAGAAUUUCACGAGUUUGAAUUCACUUUUUUUUCCCACCAAAAAACAAAAUUAAGUGGCUAGCUAUACAAAAUAAGUCGUAAAACAAUUCUGCAGCCUGUUUGGGGAACUCACAUUUUCACGCAGUUGGCAAGUAUUGCGACAGCUAAACUCACCUCACAAUUACUUACGUACGUUGCGAAAAAUCUCAUUUACACGUUAGAGUUGUUGCAUUUUCUUUCAAUUCGGACUUUCUUUGAGUUUUCUCGUUGUUCUCAUAUCCAUAAUACCAAAUGUUCUGCAUAUCAUAGAAUUUUCAUCUGUGGGCCUCUAGUUAAGCUAAGGAAAGGUUUCUGUUGGUUUAAGGCCCUUAUUAUUCCUCAAGAAUGAAAGUUGAAGGGAUAUUCCGGCGUAAAAUUAAAUUAGGGUCAAACACACAAAACACCGAGUUUAGACUCCCCGUUGACAGAUGAAUGUUGCAGACCGCUUGCUUCUCUAGUUUUACCAACUUUAGUAACGACCGCAUAUAGCAAUACAUACAGAGAGCCACGCGCUCAACCAAAAAGCCAAAGGACCGUGAAGAUGGUGAACUAUGCCUGGGCAGGGCGAAGCCAGAGGAAACUCUGGUGGAGGCCCACAGCGGCCCUGAUGUGCAAAUCGGUUGUCCGACCUGGGUAUAGGGGCAAAAGACUAAUC